RNAcentral lists this ribosomal RNA (253 nucleotides) under uncultured bacterium. Its description in RNAcentral is "partial 16S ribosomal RNA". It matches the Rfam family "Bacterial small subunit ribosomal RNA", at positions 524 to 776 of the family's 1533-position model. The record is from RNAcentral.
CACGUAGGGGGCAAGCGUUGUCCGGAAUUAUUGGGCGUAAAGGGCUCGUAGGCGGUUUGUCGCGUCGGGAGUGAAAUCCACUGGCUUAACUGGUGGCUUGCUUUCGAUACGGGCAGACUGGAGGUAUGCAGGGGAGAACGGAAUUCCUGGUGUAGCGGUGAAAUGCGCAGAUAUCAGGAGGAACACCGGUGGCGAAGGCGGUUCUCUGGGCAUGUCCUGACGCUGAGGAGCGAAAGUGUGGGGAGCGAACAGG